RNAcentral lists this non-coding RNA (261 nucleotides) under Bacillota bacterium. RNAcentral's name for it is "Firmicutes bacterium T-box sequence". It matches the Rfam family "T-box leader". Rfam says of the family: Uncharged tRNA acts as the effector for transcription antitermination of genes in the T-box leader family. The record is from RNAcentral. Lineage: Bacteria; Bacillati; Bacillota.
AAUAAUGAAAUGCAUGGGACAAGUAGAUAUAGUAAUAAUGUCACAGCGAGCUGGGAUAGUGGAAGCCAGUACAAAUUAUAUAUAUUGAAAUCACCCAUUAGAUCUUCUCUUUUGAAACAUUCAGGAUUAGAAAGAGACGUUUCCUGCGUUAAAGGUCAUAAGCGUAAUUUAUCUACUAGACAGAAUAAGUGCACCGCACGAGUUUGAAGUUUUGAGAUAAGUUGUACUAGGGUGGUACCGCGAGUCAACCUCGUCCCUUUU